This 497-nucleotide ribosomal RNA is filed under the name uncultured bacterium. RNAcentral's name for it is "partial 16S ribosomal RNA". It matches the Rfam family "Bacterial small subunit ribosomal RNA", at positions 28 to 507 of the family's 1533-position model. The record is from RNAcentral.
GAUGAACGCUGGCGGCGUGCCUAAUACAUGCAAGUCGAGCGAACGGACGAGAAGCUUGCUUUUCUGAUGUUAGCGGCGGACGGGUGAGUAACACGUGGAUAACCUACCUAUAAGACUGGGAUAACUUCGGGAAACCGGAGCUAAUACCGGAUAAUAUUUUGAACCGCAUGGUUCAAAAGUGAAAGACGGUCUUGCUGUCACUUAUAGAUGGAUCCGCGCUGCAUUAGCUAGUUGGUAAGGUAACGGCUUACCAAGGCAACGAUGCAUAGCCGACCUGAGAGGGUGAUCGGCCACACUGGAACUGAGACACGGUCCAGACUCCUACGGGAGGCAGCAGUAGGGAAUCUUCCGCAAUGGGCGAAAGCCUGACGGAGCAACGCCGCGUGAGUAAUGAAGGUCUUCGGAUCGUAAAACUCUGUUAUCAGGGAAGAACAUAUGUGUAAGUAACUGUGCACAUCUUGACGGUACCUAAUCAGAAAGCCACGGCUAACUACGUG